AUGGCGACAUUGUGUCUGAAGGAAGUCGGCGGCAAAGCACUGGUCUGAUGGACAGAAACAUGAUAGCAAGGCAUUUGCCCGUGGGUGAGACUGCCGAAGAAGUCAAAGCCCAAUAGCUAUGCGGAACGGGUGGUUUAAAUCA
Molecule: non-coding RNA, 142 nt
Filed under: bovine gut metagenome
Source: RNAcentral